This 48-nucleotide non-coding RNA is filed under the name Trichobilharzia regenti. The record is from RNAcentral. Lineage: Eukaryota; Metazoa; Platyhelminthes; Trematoda; Strigeidida; Schistosomatidae.
AUCCACAUGACGAGUCCCAAAUAGGACGAAAUUCGCGUUAUCCUGGAU